This 460-nucleotide ribosomal RNA is filed under the name uncultured bacterium. RNAcentral's name for it is "SSU rRNA". It matches the Rfam family "Bacterial small subunit ribosomal RNA", at positions 26 to 518 of the family's 1533-position model. The record is from RNAcentral.
AGAAUCAACGCUGGCGGCGCGCUUAACGACAUGCAAGUCGAGCGAGAAAGUGGAGCAAUCCAUGAGUAAAGCGGCGUACGGGUGAGUAACACGUGGGUAAUCUACCUUUUAGUGGGGAAUAACCCUGGGAAACCGGGGCUAAUACCGCAUAAUCCUGCAAAGGGAAGCAGCAAUGCGCUGAAAGAGGAGCCCGCGGCCGAUUAGCUAGUUGGUGAGGUAAUGGCUCACCAAGGCGGUGAUCGGUAGCCGGCCUGAGAGGGCACACGGCCACACUGGCACUGAAACACGGGCCAGACUCCUACGGGAGGCAGCAGUGGGGAAUCUUGCACAAUGGAGGCAACUCUGAUGCAGCGACGCCGCGUGAGCGAUGAAGCCCUUCGGGGUGUAAAGCUCUUUCGGCAGGGACGAUAAUGACGGUACCUGAAGAAGAAGCUGCGGCUAACUACGUGCCAGCAGCCGC